Molecule: ribosomal RNA, 87 nt
Filed under: Dasypus novemcinctus (nine-banded armadillo)
Lineage: Eukaryota; Metazoa; Chordata; Mammalia; Cingulata; Dasypodidae
Source: RNAcentral
UACCAUCCUGAACAUGCGCAAUUUUGUCUGAUUUUGGAAGCUAAACAGAGAUGGGCCAGGUUAGUACUUGACGGGAGAAUGCAGGAG